CCCCUAGAUGUUCUGGGCCGCACGCGCGCUACACUGAACAGUUCAACAAGUCUUAACCUUGGCCGAUAGGUCUGGGUAAUCUUUGAACGCUGUUCGUGAUUGGGAUAGACCUUUGCAAUUAUGGGUCUUCAACGAGGAAUUCCUAGUAAACGCAAGUCAUCAGCUUGCAUUGAUUACGUCCCUGCCCUUUGUACACACCGCCCGUCGCACCUACCGAUUGAAUGGUCCGGUGAAAUCUCGGGACGGCGGCUUGGUCGCUUGCGUCCGACUGCUGAAACUUGAUUAAACCAUAUCAUUUGGAGGAAGGUGAANUCGUAACA
RNAcentral lists this ribosomal RNA (320 nucleotides) under uncultured eukaryote. RNAcentral describes it as "partial 18S ribosomal RNA". It matches the Rfam family "Eukaryotic small subunit ribosomal RNA", at positions 1470 to 1796 of the family's 1831-position model. The record is from RNAcentral.